This 296-nucleotide long non-coding RNA is filed under the name Manihot esculenta (cassava). Its description in RNAcentral is "long non-coding RNA (MESC_LNC006013)". The record is from RNAcentral. Lineage: Eukaryota; Viridiplantae; Streptophyta; Magnoliopsida; Malpighiales; Euphorbiaceae.
UCUCAUCAGACGCUUUGAGAACCCUGCGAGCCUGAGACAGCUCUGCUUCUAAAGACUUGGUAUGCUCUGCUGACUCAGCCGCCUUCUCAUCAGCCUUUUUAAAGGCCUCUAGCGCAGAAUGCAACUCCACCUGGAGGGACUGGAUCUGCUCCCGAGCGGCUACCAGAUUACUCCUCGCGUCAUUAGUUGCAGAUAAGUUCUCCUCCAGACACGCCUCUUCAAUCCGGCGGUCUACAGACUCCUGGAGGGAGCGAUCACGGACGUCCACCUCCAUAAAGAGGCCCGUCACCUAGUAC